Molecule: ribosomal RNA, 478 nt
Filed under: uncultured bacterium
Lineage: Bacteria
Description: partial 16S ribosomal RNA
Rfam family: Bacterial small subunit ribosomal RNA
Source: RNAcentral
GACGAACGCUGGCGGCGUGCUUAACACAUGCAAGUCGAACGGUAAGGCCCUUCGGGGUACACGAGUGGCGAACGGGUGAGUAACACGUGGGUGAUCUGCCCUGCACUUCGGGAUAAGCCUGAGAAACUGGGUCUAAUACCGGAUAGGACUCCGGACUGCAUGGUCUGGGGUGGAAAGCUUUUGCGGUGUGGGAUGGGCCCGCGGCCUAUCAGCUUGUUGGUGGGGUGAUGGCCUACCAAGGCGGCGACGGGUAGCCGGCCUGAGAGGGUGACCGGCCACACUGGGACGGAGAUACGGCCCAGACUCCUACGGGGGGAAGCAGUGGGGAAUAUUGCACAAUGGGCGCAAGCCUGAUGCAGCGACGCCGCGUGAGGGAUGACGGCCUUCGGGUUGUAAACCUCUUUCAGCAUCGACGAAGCGAAAGUGACGGUAGGUGCAGAAGAAGGACCGGCCAACUACGUGCCAGCCGCCGCGGUAA